CAGCAGUCGCCGCGGGAAUACAGAGGGUGCAAGCGUUAAUCGGAUUUACUGGGCGUAAAGGGCGCGUAGGUGGUUAUUUAAGUGAGAUGUGAAAGCCCCGGGCUUAACCUGGGAACUGCAUCUUAUACUGGGUAACUGGAGUGCAGUAGAGGGUAGUGGAAUUUCCGGUGUAGCGGUGAAAUGCGUAGAUAUCGGAAGGAACACCAGUGGCGAAGGCGGCUACCUGGACUGAGACUGACACUGAGGCGCGAGAGCGUGGGGAGCAAACAGGAUUAGAUACCCGAGUAGUCCCUGUCUCUUAUAC
RNAcentral lists this ribosomal RNA (304 nucleotides) under uncultured bacterium. RNAcentral describes it as "partial 16S ribosomal RNA". It matches the Rfam family "Bacterial small subunit ribosomal RNA", at positions 509 to 807 of the family's 1533-position model. The record is from RNAcentral.